GUCGUUCGUUCUCGUUACGUACCAUAGAUGGCGCGAUCGUUUAUCGAUCGAUUGGUAAAAAAAAGAAUGUAAUAACUCAUUAUAUCGCUUAUUCCGAAAGUUGGCGUAACGAUAAAAAAGAAGACGAUCGAUUUUUAUAUCGACCAUUUAAUAUUUCCCACGCGUCGAAGAGAAGAUGUAUCGUUCACAAAAGAAGAAAAACCGUAUCAAAAUUCGUGUCGAUUCAUUUCGUUUUCACCCUAGUGUGUGUAACUACGAGGUCACGUGCUCGACGGAAAUGGACGUACGAAAGGAAAUUGCGAUUUUCAAAAAGAGGCAAAGACCACUCGCGUAGGAGAAGGAAGAGGAUCUUUUCUUCGUUUCUAUGCUUGUUCCAUAGAAAGGAAGACCGAACAGGUAGCAGGUGCGCGAGUUCGACUCACAGACUCGGCGCCGCUCUUCGUCGGCUCGCCGUGUGCGAGGGAGUUCUGACUGGCCUGUGCGGUCCUUCCACCACUACGGCACACUGCUACCACUACCACUACUACCGCCACCACCACACCACGACGACGCUACUA
Molecule: long non-coding RNA, 557 nt
Organism: Vespula pensylvanica (western yellowjacket)
Lineage: Eukaryota; Metazoa; Arthropoda; Insecta; Hymenoptera; Vespidae
Exons: 3
Source: RefSeq, a predicted model, not a curated record